RNAcentral lists this long non-coding RNA (802 nucleotides) under Manacus vitellinus (golden-collared manakin). Its description in RNAcentral is "lncRNA (ENSMVIG00005017998.1)". The record is from RNAcentral. Lineage: Eukaryota; Metazoa; Chordata; Aves; Passeriformes; Pipridae.
AAAUAGUGAAAGACAGAGCAAUCUGACAUUUUAAUCACUGUUAUUGCUCUAGUCACAUUUCAAUGUUUUGCUGAAGAGGAGAAACUGGAAAGAAUGAGAGCUGGGUCAACUGUUGCUGUGUGGCAUGGUCUACAGAGAACUGAUGGCACAUUUCUUAUGCCUGAAGCCUGUCAAAGCAGAGCGAGAACUUCAGCCAUAGCCUCACACCAGGCAGUCCCAGUAGCAGUAGGGGCGCUGAAACUGCCAAGGAUAUUAAAUGCUCAGAAGCUGUGAUUGGCAUUUUGAAGGAGCACAGUUUCAAAAAUACUGAAAAGUACUUGCAAAAGUGUCCUAAUCACUUUUAAGCUUAAGUCUCAUCUAAACAAUUUUUACUACUUUUUGAAAAGAAAAAUUUCUUAUAUUAGUGUCUUAGUAAGAUUUCCUAAAAGGUCCCAUUCCAGCACAUGCAUAGUUAUAUUUAACUUCCUGAAUACUUGGUUAAUCUUAAUUCAUAUUGACACUGACUCUUGCAUGUCAAGCCUUAAUGUUUUCAGGAUCCAGAGCUCCUUUUGGAAUUUGUAGAAUAAGUAUAAAUGAAAGAAGAAGGAGAAGGAUGAAAAUUACAGUACUAACUUGCUUAAAGGUAUUUAGUCCAACAUGAACAUUUUUAUCUUGUCACAGUUUCCAAUAUUUCAUUUUUGUUUACAUCUUCAAUCAAAGCUUAAAUCAAAAUAUCAGACUAGUCUUAUCUGUACUGAUUUGUUUUGAAAUGUUUCACUUAGAUAUUUCGUGGUUGAAAAUAAAAAUUACAAAAUUAAAAACA